Molecule: ribosomal RNA, 828 nt
Filed under: uncultured Hebeloma
Lineage: Eukaryota; Fungi; Basidiomycota; Agaricomycetes; Agaricales; Cortinariaceae
Description: eukaryotic LSU rRNA
Rfam family: 5.8S ribosomal RNA (bases 266-419)
Source: RNAcentral
CUUGGUCAUUUAGAGGAAGUAAAAGUCGUAACAAGGGUUUCCGUAGGUGGAACCUGCGGAAGGAUCAUUAACGAAUACGUCUGUCGGGAAGGGUUGCUGCUGGCCUCCUCGGAGGCAUGUGCGCGCCUUGACCGCAUUCCACCCCUUCACACCUGUGCACAACCGCUGGGGGAGCCGCGAGGCCCCCUCUGCGAACUUUUUCACAAACCCCCUAGUCGUAACAGAACGGUAUUCAUAGUAGUGCGUCUUGCGCAUGAAUAAAUACAACUUUCAGCAACGGAUCUCUUGGCUCUCGCAUCGAUGAAGAACGCAGCGAAAUGCGAUAAGUAAUGUGAAUUGCAGAAUUCAGUGAAUCAUCGAAUCUUUGAACGCACCUUGCGCUCCUUGGUAUUCCGAGGAGCAUGCCUGUUUGAGUGUCAUUAAAUUCUCAACCAUUAUCAACUUUUGCUGAUAAUGGCUUGGAUGUGGGGGUCUAUUUUGCUGGCUUCUCAGAUAGUCAGCUCCCCUUAAAUGCAUUAGCCGGUGCCCCGCGUGGACUGUCUAUUGGUGUGAUAAUUAUCUACGCUAUAGACAUCUGCAAUCAUAUGGGUUUGCGCUGCUUCUAACAGUCUGUUGAUUCAGACAAUACAUGACAAUUUGACCUCAAAUCAGGUAGGACUACCCGCUGAACUUAAGCAUAUCAAUAAGCGGAGGAAAAGAAACUAACAAGGAUUCCCCUAGUAACUGCGAGUGAAGCGGGAAAAGCUCAAAUUUAAAAUCUGGCGGUCUCUGGCCGUCCGAGUUGUAAUCUAGAGAAGUGUUAUCCGCGCUGGACCGUGUACAAGUCUC